This 465-nucleotide ribosomal RNA is filed under the name Vreelandella stevensii. RNAcentral's name for it is "partial 16S ribosomal RNA". It matches the Rfam family "Bacterial small subunit ribosomal RNA", at positions 338 to 795 of the family's 1533-position model. The record is from RNAcentral. Lineage: Bacteria; Pseudomonadati; Pseudomonadota; Gammaproteobacteria; Oceanospirillales; Halomonadaceae.
CCUACGGGUGGCUGCAGUGGGGAAUAUUGGACAAUGGGGGCAACCCUGAUCCAGCCAUGCCGCGUGUGUGAAGAAGGCCCUCGGGUUGUAAAGCACUUUCAGUGAGGAAGAACGCCUGGUGGUUAAUACCCAUCAGGAAAGACAUCACUCACAGAAGAAGCACCGGCUAACUCCGUGCCAGCAGCCGCGGUAAUACGGAGGGUGUGAGCGUUAAUCGGAAUUACUGGGCGUAAAGCGCGCGUAGGUGGCUUGAUAAGCCGGUUGUGAAAGCCCCGGGCUCAACCUGGGAACGGCAUCCGGAACUGUCAAGCUAGAGUGCAGGAGAGGAAGGUAGAAUUCCCGGUGUAGCGGUGAAAUGCGUAGAGAUCGGGAGGAAUACCAGUGGCGAAGGCGGCCUUCUGGACUGACACUGACACUGAGGUGCGAAAGCGUGGGUAGCAAACAGGAUUAGAUACCCGUGUAGUC